CCCAACUAUCCCUAUUAAUCAUUACGGUGAUUCAGAAACCAACAAAACAGGACCACCGUCCUAUUUUAUUAUUCCAUGCUAAUGUAUUCAGACAUAAGCCUGCUUUGAACACUCUAAUUUUUUCAAGGUAAAGGUCCUGGUUUCCUACCACGCUAAAUUAAUAACAUGAUAGUUCCCCAGAAGGUAGAAAUUCCACACGCCAGUACAGACAAUAGCCCGACCAACGGUGGAACCCCGAAAUUCAACUACGA
Molecule: ribosomal RNA, 251 nt
Filed under: uncultured Dentiscutata
Lineage: Eukaryota; Fungi; Glomeromycota; Glomeromycetes; Diversisporales; Gigasporaceae
Description: partial 18S ribosomal RNA
Source: RNAcentral